UACUCGUCUCUCUAGGCAGCUGAUGACGGAGUUGACAGAAGAGCAUCCACGAAGGCAUCUGGUGAGUGUCCUGGAGCUGGAGGAGUUGAUACUGGAGGUGCUUGAGGUGGAGCUGGUGCUGAAGGUGCUGAUGCUUGACCUGAAGAUGUAUCUCUUGUCUCCUGAGCAUGAACAACAGCUGAUCUAAGUUGAGGGCUGAACCGUGUGGCAGUGGGAGGAGGACACUCUUCUUCAUCAUUGUCAUCUUCAUCAUCAUCAUCGUCUGAGCGCGGGACCUCCACUGAGUCAACUUCAUGUCGAAGCUGUUUGACUAUAGUGGUCAACUCCGUAACCUUCACAUCCAUGUCAUGAAACUUUGUUUCCACGACUCUCUCAAGGUUUUUUUGACUUUGCAGUAUCUCCUAGAUGUUAUUCUCCAUGCCUUGGACAAAGCUAACUACAAAUGCCAUUUGCUC
RNAcentral lists this long non-coding RNA (455 nucleotides) under Hordeum vulgare. Its description in RNAcentral is "long non-coding RNA (HVUL_LNC015878)". The record is from RNAcentral. Lineage: Eukaryota; Viridiplantae; Streptophyta; Magnoliopsida; Poales; Poaceae.